GAUGAACGCUGACAGAAUGCUUAACACAUGCAAGUCUACUUGAACUUCGGGUUUGGGUGGCGGACGGGUGAGUAACGCGUAAAGAACUUGCCUCACAGAUAGGGACAACAUUUGGAAACGAAUGCUAAUACCUGAUAUUAUGAUUUUAGGGCAUCCUAGAAUUAUGAAAGCUAUAUGCACUGUGAGAGAGCUUUGCGUCCCAUUAGCUAGUUGGAGAGGUAACGGCUCACCAAGGCGAUGAUGGGUAGCCGGCCUGAGAGGGUAAUCGGCCACAAAGGGACUGAGACACGGCCCUUACUCCUACGGGAGGCAGCAGUGGGGAAUAUUGGACAAUGGACCAAGAGUCUGAUCCAGCAAUUCUGUGUGCACGAUGAAGUUUUUCGGAAUGUAAAGUGCUUUCAGUUGGGAAGAAAAAAAUGACGGUACCAACAGAAGAAGUGACGGCUAAAUACGUGCCAGCAGCCGCGGUAAUACGUAUGUCACAAGCGUUAUCCGGAUUUAUUGGGCGUAAAGCGCGUCUAGGUGGUUAUGUAAGUCUGAUGUGAAAAUGCAGGGCUCAACUCUGUAUUGCGUUGGAAACUGUGUAACUAGAGUACUGGAGAGGUAAGCGGAACUACAAGUGUAGAGGUGAAAUUUGUAGAUAUUUGUAGGAAUGCCGAUGGGGAAGCCAGCUUACUGGACAGAUACUGACGCUGAAGCGCGAAAGCGUGGGUAGCAAACAGG
Molecule: ribosomal RNA, 723 nt
Filed under: uncultured Fusobacterium sp.
Lineage: Bacteria; Fusobacteriati; Fusobacteriota; Fusobacteriia; Fusobacteriales; Fusobacteriaceae
Description: bacterial SSU rRNA
Rfam family: Bacterial small subunit ribosomal RNA
Source: RNAcentral